GAUGGAUUGGAUGAUAUGCCGUGCUUUUCAGAGAUAGCGUCACCAUGUGAUCAAGUCUCUGUUGGGCACGGCUUUUUUCCUUGAAACAAGCUUUAAGUGAUGGUUAACAGAUAUUUUAAUCGUCUGAAAAGGCGAACAUUUCUAGGAGGUUUUUUCCAUGCAACAAGGUACUGUAAAAUGGUUUAACGCAGAAAAAGGUUUUGGCUUCAUUCAAGUUGAAGGCGGAGAAGAUGUAUUCGUACACUACAGCGCUAUCCAAACUGAAGGUUUCAAAACUCUUGAAGAAGGUCAAAAAGUUGAGUUUGAAAUCGUUCAAGGUAGCCGUGGACCACAAGCUGCUAACGUUAAUCGUCUGUAAGAUCAAAUACGUAUAAAAAGAAGCAGUCUCUCUUUUGAGGGGCUGUUUUUU
RNAcentral lists this small RNA (409 nucleotides) under Brevibacillus laterosporus LMG 15441. Its description in RNAcentral is "cspA thermoregulator". It matches the Rfam family "cspA thermoregulator". The record is from Rfam by way of RNAcentral. Lineage: Bacteria; Bacillati; Bacillota; Bacilli; Caryophanales; Paenibacillaceae.